CCUACGGGAGGCAGCAGUAAGGAAUAUUGGUCAAUGGACGCAAGUCUGAACCAGCCAUGCCGCGUGCAGGAUGACGGCCCUCUGGGUUGUAAACUGCUUUUAUACGGGAAGAAACCUCUGGUUGCGAUCAGAGCUGACGGUACCGUAAGAAUAAGGACCGGCUAACUUCGUGCCAGCAGCCGCGGUAAUACGAAGGGUCCAAGCGUUAUCCGGAUUUAUUGGGUUUAAAGGGUGCGUAGGCGGCUUAUUAAGUCAGUGGUGAAAGACUUCAGCUUAACUGAAGAACUGCCAUUGAUACUGAUGAGCUUGAAUAUACUUGAGGUGGGCGGAAUGUGUCAUGUAGCGGUGAAAUGCUUAGAUAUGACACAGAACACCGAUUGCGAAGGCAGCUCGCUAAAGUAUGAUUGACGCUGAUGCACGAAAGCGUGGGGAGCAAACAGGAUUAGAUACCCUGGUAGUCCACGCCCUAAACGUUGAUAACUCGAUGUGUGCGAUAUACAGUACGCGUCCAAGCGAAAGCAUUAAGUUAUCCACCUGGGAAGUACGGUCGCAAGAUUGAAACUCAAAAGUAGUAGUACGGACGUUGNGAGAGCGACGACGACGACGACGGAGGGAGGAG
This 619-nucleotide ribosomal RNA is filed under the name uncultured bacterium. RNAcentral describes it as "bacterial SSU rRNA". It matches the Rfam family "Bacterial small subunit ribosomal RNA", at positions 338 to 956 of the family's 1533-position model. The record is from RNAcentral.